UCUAUUAGAUAUAAACUCUUGGUUAGCUAUAAUACACAAUCUAAUUGAAUAGGACUGUGUCUAAUCAACUGGGAAGAAUCGAAAACGAACGAUACUAAGUACCAUCAAGGGCGUAUAAAGAGAAGAGGGCAUGCAACAGCUUGCGAGCAACAACUGUUGGUCUCUGAUCCUAUUCUUUGUGGAGUGAAUGGGACAUAACCAAAAGCAUCCAGUCCACUGUCUACGCUCUAAUGGAAUCCUGCAUUCUGAUUGGACGGCUUCAGGUUCAAUACUCGUUGUUGCCAUGACGAAUUUGACCCUGAGUUGAAAUGGAUGUCGUGGUAACUGCUGUAGCAAUAGUGUUAAUGGGAGGGUGACAGUUAUGGAGGGUUUUGAUUGGUUGGUUGGUUUCUUAGCAACAGGACGAGCAUUUUUUGGAGAAGGGAGAGUAUUUGGCGGACAAGGGGAAC
Long non-coding RNA from Halichondria panicea, 449 nucleotides. RefSeq lists it as uncharacterized. The record is from RefSeq and is a predicted model, not a curated record. The transcript is spliced from 2 exons. NCBI's taxonomy places the organism in Eukaryota, Metazoa, Porifera, Demospongiae, Suberitida, Halichondriidae.